This 1436-nucleotide ribosomal RNA is filed under the name uncultured organism. RNAcentral's name for it is "SSU rRNA". It matches the Rfam family "Bacterial small subunit ribosomal RNA". The record is from RNAcentral.
AUCUACAGGCUUAACACAUGCAAGUCGAGGGGCAGCAUGGUCUUAGCUUGCUAAGGCCGAUGGCGACCGGCGCACGGGUGAGUAACACGUAUCCAACCUGCCGUCUACUCUUGGACAGCCUUCUGAAAGGAAGAUUAAUACAAGAUGGCAUCAUGAGUCCACAUGUUCACAUGAUUAAAGGUAUUCCGGUAGACGAUGGGGAUGCGUUCCAUUAGAUAGUAGGCGGGGUAACGGCCCACCUAGUCUUCGAUGGAUAGGGGUUCUGAGAGGAAGGUCCCCCACAUUGGAACUGAGACACGGUCCAAACUCCUACGGGAGGCAGCAGUGAGGAAUAUUGGUCAAUGGGCGAGAGCCUGAACCAGCCAAGUAGCGUGAAGGAUGACUGCCCUAUGGGUUGUAAACUUCUUUUAUAAAGGAAUAAAGUCGGGUAUGCAUACCCGUUUGCAUGUACUUUAUGAAUAAGGAUCGGCUAACUCCGUGCCAGCAGCCGCGGUAAUACGGAGGAUCCGAGCGUUAUCCGGAUUUAUUGGGUUUAAAGGGAGCGUAGAUGGAUGUUUAAGUCAGUUGUGAAAGUUUGCGGCUCAACCGUAAAAUUGCAGUUGAUACUGGAUAUCUUGAGUGCAGUUGAGGCAGGCGGAAUUCGUGGUGUAGCGGUGAAAUGCUUAGAUAUCACGAAGAACUCCGAUUGCGAAGGCAGCCUGCUAAGCUGCAACUGACAUUGAGGCUCGAAAGUGUGGGUAUCAAACAGGAUUAGAUACCCUGGUAGUCCACACGGUAAACGAUGAAUACUCGCUGUUUGCGAUAUACUGCAAGCGGCCAAGCGAAAGCGUUAAGUAUUCCACCUGGGGAGUACGCCGGCAACGGUGAAACUCAAAGGAAUUGACGGGGGCCCGCACAAGCGGAGGAACAUGUGGUUUAAUUCGAUGAUACGCGAGGAACCUUACCCGGGCUUAAAUUGCAGAUGAAUUACGGUGAAAGCCGUAAGCCGCAAGGCAUCUGUGAAGGUGCUGCAUGGUUGUCGUCAGCUCGUGCCGUGAGGUGUCGGCUUAAGUGCCAUAACGAGCGCAACCCUUGUUGUCAGUUACUAACAGGUUCUGCUGAGGACUCUGACAAGACUGCCAUCGUAAGAUGUGAGGAAGGUGGGGAUGACGUCAAAUCAGCACGGCCCUUACGUCCGGGGCUACACACGUGUUACAAUGGGGGGUACAGAGGGCCGCUACCACGCGAGUGGAUGCCAAUCCCAAAAACCUCUCUCAGUUCGGACUGGAGUCUGCAACCCGACUCCACGAAGCUGGAUUCGCUAGUAAUCGCGCAUCAGCCACGGCGCGGUGAAUACGUUCCCGGGCCUUGUACACACCGCCCGUCAAGCCAUGGGAGCCGGGGGUACCUGAAGUGCGUAACCGAGAGGAGCGCCCUAGGGUAAAACUGGUGACUGG